Molecule: ribosomal RNA, 549 nt
Filed under: uncultured Glomus
Lineage: Eukaryota; Fungi; Glomeromycota; Glomeromycetes; Glomerales; Glomeraceae
Description: SSU rRNA
Rfam family: Eukaryotic small subunit ribosomal RNA
Source: RNAcentral
UUGGAGGGCAAGUCUGGUGCCAGCAGCCGCGGUAAUUCCAGCUCCAAUAGCGUAUAUUAAAGUUGUUGCAGUUAAAAAGCUCGUAGUUGAAUUUCGGGGUUAGUAGGCUGGUCAUGCCUCCGGUAUGUACUGGUCUCACUGAUUCCUCCUUCCUGAUGAACCGUAAUGCCAUUAAUUUGGUGUUGCGGGGAAUUUGGACCGUUACUUUGAAAAAAUUAGAGUGUUUAAAGCAAGCUAACGCUUGAAUACAUUAGCAUGGAAUAAUGAAAUAGGACGUUCGAUCCUAUUUUGUUGGUUUCUAGGAUUGACGUAAUGAUUAAUAGGGAUAGUUGGGGGCAUUAGUAUUCAAUUGUCAGAGGUGAAAUUCUUGGAUUUAUUGAAGACUAACUACUGCGAAAGCAUUUGCCAAGGAUGUUUUCAUUAAUCAAGAACGAAAGUUAGGGGAUCGAAGACGAUCAGAUACCGUCGUAGUCUUAACCAUAAACUAUGCCGACUAGGGAUCGGAUGAUGUUAAUUUUUUAAUGACUCAUUCGGCGCCUUACGGGAAAC